CCCAGACUCCUACGGGAGGCAGCAGUGAGGAAUAUUGGUCAAUGGGCUUACGCCUGAACCAGCCAAGUCGCGUGAGGGAAGACUGCCCUAUGGGUUGUAAACCUCUUUUGUCAGGGAGCAACGCCGGCUACGUGUAGCCGGACUGAGAGUACCUGAAGAAAAAGCAUCGGCUAACUCCGUGCCAGCAGCCGCGGUAAUACGUAGGUGGCAAGCGUUGUCCGGAUUUACUGGGUGUAAAGGGCGUGUAGCCGGGCCGGCAAGUCAGAUGUGAAAUCCCAAGGCUCAACCGUGGAACUGCAUUUGAAACUGUUGGUCUUGAGUAUCGGAGAGGCAGGCGGAAUUCCUAGUGUAGCGGUGAAAUGCGUAGAUAUCAGGAGGAACACCGGCGGCGAAGGCGGCCUGCUGGACCGUGACUGACGUUGAGGCUCGAGAGCGUGGGGAGCAAACAGGAUUAGAUACCCCUGUA
This 466-nucleotide ribosomal RNA is filed under the name uncultured bacterium. RNAcentral describes it as "bacterial SSU rRNA". It matches the Rfam family "Bacterial small subunit ribosomal RNA", at positions 330 to 792 of the family's 1533-position model. The record is from RNAcentral.